This is a long non-coding RNA of Triticum dicoccoides, 2037 nucleotides long. RefSeq lists it as uncharacterized. Lineage: Eukaryota; Viridiplantae; Streptophyta; Magnoliopsida; Poales; Poaceae. The transcript is spliced from 2 exons. The record is from RefSeq and is a predicted model, not a curated record.
UCCUCUUUUCCCCAUUCCCAUCCACCAGUGGAUCUCAUCCAGCGGAGGAGCUCCACUCCGGCCGCAGCCACCAUGUCACAGGACAUGGCAGUAGGGAGCACGUGCUGGAACGCAACAUCGCGACUGGCCGCGUCAGCGCAACCUCCGCCGAUGGUGUGGCAGCAAGCGCUAGGGGUGUAGUAGCACGGCGACCGGCCGCGUCAGUGCAACCUCCGCCGGGGAUGCGGCAGCAGGGGCGGCGACGUCUGCAACGGUUACCGGCGCUGCCGGCGAUGCGACGCGGGAGGUCGGCGACGGCCGGCAGUGCUGCGACGCAAUGCUCCGUCCAUGGAUGUCGGCGCUGCGAUGUGGCCCUCGUCGGCAACUACCAGUGUUACGAUCCAUCACCCACCGGAGGGGUGUGUCAAGCCGGAGAGGUGGUGCGCGACGCGGUGUUCCAACACCAUCGCAGCUCCGACGGUGUCGCGGCCGCUACAACGCAACUCCAACAGUGUCGACGACCUCUGCAUUGCAGCUCCGGCGGCGUCGCGGCCUCUGCAUCGCAACUCCAACGAUAUCGAACGAGCAGUUUAGGCAGCGGCGCGGCGGCUGCGUUGCAGCUCCGGCGGCAUCAACGAACUGCUGGACAAUAGCUUCAGCGGCGUCGCGGCCGCUGCAUCGCACCUCUAGCGGCAUCGACGAGCACUGAUGGUAGCUCCGGCGGCGUCGCGGCAGCUGAAUGCAGCUCUGGCGGUGUCGUGGCCGUUGCAUAGCAACUCCGACGAUGACAUGGCCGCUGCAUUGCAGCUCCGGCGGCGUCGCGGGCGCUGCAUUGCACCUCGAGCGGCAUCGACAAGCACUGCAUGGCAGCUCCGGCGGCAUCGCGGGCCGCUGCAUCGCAGCUCCGGCGGCCUCGACGACUGCUGCAUAGCAGCUCCGGCGGUGUCGGGGCCGCUGCAUAGCAACUCCGACGACGACAUGGCCGCUGCAUCGCAGCUCUGGUGGCAUCAACGUCCGCUGCAUCGUAGCUCCGGCGGCUGCUGUGUCACAACUACGUCGGCGACGAGGCCGCUGCUGCGGUGCUGGUAGGCAUGCUUGGAGCGGACAGUGGGGGCUGUGGUGGUGCCUGUGUUGCGCGAGUGGAAGAUGCAUGUGCGUGAGGAGACCAAACAAACGGCUCUGAUAUGCACAGUUGGACGGUUAUCGAGGUGGUUGAUAACUGCGAGUUAUCAACCGGCUUACGCCUAGCAUCGGCCUUAAAAAAGCUCUGGUCCGUCGCCACUGUGCACGAACACGCACAACCGAUCCUGUGGGGCAAAGCUGACCUUCUGCGCUUGGAAUUUGUUGAGUUGCUGGCCACUUGAGCAGAGCCAUACCAUGUGGUGGUUGCUUUCAACGGAGCAAGAAAGUCAAGAAGCCCCGGGAAUCAAACGCGCCGAAGAUGCUAAAUGGGCCUAUGUUGCGUGUCAUGUGAUCAAAUUAGCUUAUGCCUAAAUGAGUCUACUUAUCAGAACUAUUUAUGUUUGAAAUUUAAACAUUUAAAGAAAUAAGAAAACCAAGAAUUGACAUGCAUUCAUUCAAGUCCAUGGGCAAUCGAGCAAGCACUAAUGAAAAUGAGCAGGGGGUUAAGGAGUCUGGAAGAGUCUUUCGAGGUAGGGGAUUGCAGCAACAAACGGUGUGGAAGUAAUGCAGAGAGGAAAUCUCAUGGCUGGCAAGGAGGACGAGGGCAAUGAGGACCAUCUCGCCAUUGCCGGAUCUAGGCCGUUGGCUGGGAAGGGGGGAGAGGUGUCGACAGAGGUGCGUUCCAGCUUCUCCCUCAUGUCUAUAGACAUGAAAAACCUUUGCCAGCAAGAGAUGAUUGCGGGGGAGCGACAUCAUGGGUUUUGUGCUUAGACGUAGACAUAGUUGAACCGGAGUUUAGUGGCCAUGUUCUGGGAGAGCGAAAUGACAUUGUUUAGGCAAGUGACGAGAAAUUUGGGUUUGUGCCAACAUUGUGCUAUAGUUAAAUUUGUACAAUGCAAAUCGCCACGCAACAAUGUAAAUAAGGUCUUUGUUUUA